UACUUCUCUGUGUUCCUUCCUGCUUCUGCAGGGUGACUCCAUAAAGUUACGCAGUGGCUGCCUGGGGUAAAAAUUGAUUUUGUGUGGGUUUAGAGCCUGGUACAGAGGAGUCACAUACAACCACUGCUAACACUUUUUGCAGUGCUGAAAAGGCAUGUUAUAUUAUUAAGCUCAUUGACAUUUAAAACAUGACCUGUAUUUGGUUACAUUCUUAUUGUAUCCUACAGGACUUUGUCAUCAGAAAUUCCAUCAAACCCCAAGUCUUUUGGUGUGCUGUGGAUGAGCUGUCAGAAGAUCCAGUAACACUGCAGGUGACAUGAAUCCCAAGCCUGAAUCAUGCAAUGAGCUCUGUCCUUCAUGGCAUCUUCAGCAGAUUCCUCUGAGCUUGAAUUUUCAAAAGCUGUUAUAAAUCCAAGCCCUGCAGUUCUACACUGGAAGCAGAACCAUGUCAUACCUCCAGAUGAAAGGAUUUUAAGCCAGCUGCACAGUUGUCUUCUACAGCAGGCUUUCUGAAGCCAAAUCCUGCUGAAAGAAAUAACAUUACUGGAGCUACUGGAUGAGGAGGAAAAGUUGGCAAAAACACAAUAAAAGUUUGUUUACAUGUGUCCAAUGAUUUAAUCCAGAUUGAGAAGAUCACAAUGGCUUUUGCUGCCAUGUUGGAUGCAAUUGAUGACACACUUUGGUUUCUUUCCUGGUGUACACAGUGUGUGCUGCGGUGCAGAGGAUUCCAGCUGCCAUAAUUUUCAGUGGAAAGAAUAAUGAUCACAGGGAACUUUUCUGCAGGAGAUUUGCUGCCACACUGAAUUGGCAAGAAUCUUGCAGGAAAAUACACAAGGCUUUGCAGCAGAGAUCAGCUGUGGAACCUUGCUAUCAACACUGCAAGCUGAGAUCCUUCUUUCAUGCAAAUUAUGACUUCUUCUGUGAGCAAGUGAUAAGCUUUUUCAAACAGCAUGGUAACCUAGCAAAUAAAAAGCCUCCUUAUUUGCUUG
This is a long non-coding RNA of Pseudopipra pipra, 989 nucleotides long. RefSeq lists it as uncharacterized. The transcript is spliced from 8 exons. The record is from RefSeq and is a predicted model, not a curated record. Lineage: Eukaryota; Metazoa; Chordata; Aves; Passeriformes; Pipridae.